AACGAGCGCUGGCGGCAUGCCUAACACAUGCAAGUCGAACGAGACCUUCGGGUCUAGUGGCGCACGGGUGCGUAACGCGUGGGAACCUGCCCUUAGGUUCGGAAUAACUCCCUGAAAGGGGUGCUAAUACCGGAUAAUGUCUUCGGACCAAAGAUUUAUCGCCUUUGGAUGGGCCCGCGUUGGAUUAGCUAGUUGGUAGGGUAAAAGCCUACCAAGGCGACGAUCCAUAGCUGGUCUGAGAGGAUGAUCAGCCACACUGGGACUGAGACACGGCCCAGACUCCUACGGGAGGCAGCAGUGGGGAAUAUUGGACAAUGGGCGAAAGCCUGAUCCAGCAAUGCCGCGUGAGUGAUGAAGGCCUUAGGGUUGUAAAGCUCUUUUACCCGGGAUGAUAAUGACAGUACCGGGAGAAUAAGCUCCGGCUAACUCCGUG
This 433-nucleotide ribosomal RNA is filed under the name uncultured bacterium. Its description in RNAcentral is "partial 16S ribosomal RNA". It matches the Rfam family "Bacterial small subunit ribosomal RNA", at positions 29 to 507 of the family's 1533-position model. The record is from RNAcentral.